AGCAGCCGCGGUAAUUCCAGCUCCAAUAGCGUAUAUUAAAGUUGUUGCAGUUAAAAAGCUCGUAGUUGAAUUUCGGGGUCAAUACGUCGGUCGUGCCUUCGGUACGUACUGGUGUUAUUGAUCUCUCCCUUCUGAUGAAUCAUGAUGUCAUUAAUUUGGUGUCGUGGGGAGUCAGGACUGUUACUUUGAAAAAAUUAGAGUGUUUAAAGCAGGCUAACGCUUGAAUACAUUAGCAUGGAAUAAUGAAAUAGGACGAGCGAUCCUAUUUUGUUGGUUUCUAGGAUUGACGUAAUGAUUAAUAGGGAUAGUUGGGGGCAUUAGUAUUCAAUUGUCAGAGGUGAAAUUCUUGGAUUUAUUGAAGACUAACUACUGCGAAAGCAUUUGCCAAGGAUGUUUUCAUUAAUCAAGAACGAAAGUUAGGGGAUCGAAGACGAUCAGAUACCGUCGUAG
RNAcentral lists this ribosomal RNA (450 nucleotides) under uncultured Glomeromycotina. RNAcentral describes it as "SSU rRNA". It matches the Rfam family "Eukaryotic small subunit ribosomal RNA", at positions 569 to 1023 of the family's 1831-position model. Lineage: Eukaryota; Fungi; Glomeromycota. The record is from RNAcentral.